RNAcentral lists this small RNA (85 nucleotides) under Epilithonimonas hungarica. Its description in RNAcentral is "Chryseobacterium hungaricum Flavo-1 RNA". It matches the Rfam family "Flavo-1 RNA". Lineage: Bacteria; Pseudomonadati; Bacteroidota; Flavobacteriia; Flavobacteriales; Weeksellaceae. The record is from RNAcentral.
AUUUAGCCCCGAUUGCAACGGAAUCCCUUUUUGGCGUUGGCUUGAAAACGUUAGCAAAAAGAUAUAGCGGAAAGCGGGUUGGAAA